Molecule: long non-coding RNA, 578 nt
Filed under: Mus pahari (shrew mouse)
Lineage: Eukaryota; Metazoa; Chordata; Mammalia; Rodentia; Muridae
Description: lncRNA (MGP_PahariEiJ_G0003689.1)
Source: RNAcentral
AGUUGCCUCUGUGAUCAUCUGACCACCACCUCAUCAUUAUUGUCUACCUAAGCCUCAGGACUGACCAGAAUAAGCUGGAUUCAGCUCAAAUCACAGGAAAUUUUUUAGACACUGAGAAGCGACUCCCUUCAUGUUCUGCUGGAGCCACAGCUGACCUGGACCUAUGGUACAGGGGGAAAUUUUCACCCUAACGCAGCUCAGAAGUCAUUUGACUCAGUCUGUGUCCCUCAAGAAAAGUGACGGAGGAUGGCAAGAGUCAUGUGCCAUCUCAUCUCCCAGGCCCGCCCCUGCCAGCUCUUAUCUGAAUUUUAACCUAUGGGAAGAGAGCAAUGGGAUGAUGACAUCAGUACUUUAAAUAUAUCAUUAGAAUAGAGAUCAUCGUGACUUAACUCCGGCUGGGACCAUUGAUUGCUGUACGGAGGCCAGUGACAAGGAGGUCAUCGCAGUGUCACCCAGGACUGUGCUGAUGGCAGCAGAGAGGUUAAAAGUAAAGUCCAGAGACAUCUAGAGAUCUGCCGACCGCCAUGCCACGCUGUUCUGGUCCUUGACGGGGAAAGAUGCCCACAAAGCCCAGACAG